Molecule: ribosomal RNA, 666 nt
Filed under: Salmonella enterica subsp. enterica serovar Newport
Lineage: Bacteria; Pseudomonadati; Pseudomonadota; Gammaproteobacteria; Enterobacterales; Enterobacteriaceae
Description: bacterial SSU rRNA
Rfam family: Bacterial small subunit ribosomal RNA
Source: RNAcentral
GGAGUACGGCCGCAAGGUUAAAACUCAAAUGAAUUGACGGGGGCCCGCACAAGCGGUGGAGCAUGUGGUUUAAUUCGAUGCAACGCGAAGAACCUUACCUGGUCUUGACAUCCACAGAACUUUCCAGAGAUGGAUUGGUGCCUUCGGGAACUGUGAGACAGGUGCUGCAUGGCUGUCGUCAGCUCGUGUUGUGAAAUGUUGGGUUAAGUCCCGCAACGAGCGCAACCCUUAUCCUUUGUUGCCAGCGAUUAGGUCGGGAACUCAAAGGAGACUGCCAGUGAUAAACUGGAGGAAGGUGGGGAUGACGUCAAGUCAUCAUGGCCCUUACGACCAGGGCUACACACGUGCUACAAUGGCGCAUACAAAGAGAAGCGACCUCGCGAGAGCAAGCGGACCUCAUAAAGUGCGUCGUAGUCCGGAUUGGAGUCUGCAACUCGACUCCAUGAAGUCGGAAUCGCUAGUAAUCGUGGAUCAGAAUGCCACGGUGAAUACGUUCCCGGGCCUUGUACACACCGCCCGUCACACCAUGGGAGUGGGUUGCAAAAGAAGUAGGUAGCUUAACCUUCGGGAGGGCGCUUACCACUUUGUGAUUCAUGACUGGGGUGAAGUCGUAACAAGGUAACCGUAGGGGAACCUGCGGUUGGAUCACCUCCUUACCUUAAAGAA